This 454-nucleotide ribosomal RNA is filed under the name uncultured bacterium. RNAcentral describes it as "bacterial SSU rRNA". It matches the Rfam family "Bacterial small subunit ribosomal RNA", at positions 926 to 1382 of the family's 1533-position model. The record is from RNAcentral.
CAAGCAGCGGAGCGUGUGGUUUAAUUCGUUGCUACACGAAGACCUUACCUGGGUUUGACAUAUAGGUUGUAGGGAACUGAAAAGGGACCGACCCUUCGGGGAGCCUAUACAGGUGUUGCAUGGCUGUCGUCAGCUCGUGUCGUGAGAUGUUGGGUUAAGUCCCGCAACGAGCGCAACCCUUAUUCUUAGUUGUUUUCCCUUUGGGAUUACCCUCUAAGAAGACUGCCUCGGAUAACGGGGAGGAAGGCGGGAUGACGUCAAGUCCGCAUGCUCCUUACGUCUAGGGCUACACACGUCCUACAAUGGGGUCGACAAUGGGAUGCAAUAUCGCAAGAUGGAGCCAAUCCCCAAACGGCCUCUCAGUUCGGAUUGUAGUCUGCAACUCGACUACAUGAAGUCGGAAUCGCUAGUAAUGGCGGAUCAGCAUGCCGCCGUGAAUACGUUCCCGGGUCUU